UACUCUGCACCAAGUUGGAUCUACGGAAUGACGACCGCGUGAUUUGGAUCCAUGGGGUGGAUAAAUGGAAAAGAAGUUUCAGCACUCCCAUAGGACGCUUUGAAGAGCCUUCAGAGCAGUACCAACACUAUGCCAACUGUCGUCACACCAAGCUCCCAACUACACAGCGGGUGACAAGAUAUGACUUUCUAAUAAAGAUUUACCAUUAAAAGCCGA
Molecule: long non-coding RNA, 216 nt
Organism: Micropterus salmoides (largemouth bass)
Lineage: Eukaryota; Metazoa; Chordata; Actinopteri; Centrarchiformes; Centrarchidae
Exons: 2
Source: RefSeq, a predicted model, not a curated record